UAACACGUGGAUAACCUACCUAUAAGACUGGGAUAACUUCGGGAAACCGGAGCUAAUACCGGAUGAUAUUUUGAACCGCAUGGUCCAAAAGUGAAAGACGGUCUUGCUGUCACUUAUAGAUGGAUCCGCGCUGCAUUAGCUAGUUGGUAAGGUAACGGCUUACCAAGGCAACGAUGCAUAGCCGACCUGAGAGGGUGAUUGGCCACACUGGAACUGAGACACGGUCCAG
RNAcentral lists this ribosomal RNA (229 nucleotides) under uncultured Staphylococcus sp. RNAcentral's name for it is "partial 16S ribosomal RNA". It matches the Rfam family "Bacterial small subunit ribosomal RNA", at positions 111 to 334 of the family's 1533-position model. Lineage: Bacteria; Bacillati; Bacillota; Bacilli; Caryophanales; Staphylococcaceae. The record is from RNAcentral.